RNAcentral lists this long non-coding RNA (1033 nucleotides) under Oryctolagus cuniculus (rabbit). Its description in RNAcentral is "lncRNA (ENSOCUG00000032605.1)". The record is from RNAcentral. Lineage: Eukaryota; Metazoa; Chordata; Mammalia; Lagomorpha; Leporidae.
GGGAGAGAGUGGCGGCCACGCACAGCUGUGAAACCCCACAACGUGCUGUUUUACGGGGUCCCUCUCAAUUAUAAUAAGUAACAAGGGAGCAACAGCUGCCAUGAGGCAGGUGCCAUUCAGCUCGCACCAUUAUCUCAGUAAGCCCCAGAGCAGCCAGCAGGACAGGACCUGCCAGGUCCACAGUUAAGGUUCAGGGAUGCUAAGAAAUUUCCCAAAGUCAGACGGUUAGGACCCACUAUUUUCCCUCCGCUUGACUUCCACCUGGCUCUACCGCGUUCCGGGAUGCUGGUGCCGUGCUAUGCACCCGCCAUUUCCCAGACGCCACCACCACCUGGCCUUCUGCCGGGCACUGACCGCAGGAGAGGACAGCAGAGAGCCGGGGCGGUGGGAGGAAGCCACCUGCCCAGCCCGCUGCUCCUGACGCGACCACUGGAGCUGGCGUCACCACGGCUCCUCAGUCGGGACAUCCUCACCUCCUGCCCUCACAGGCACCCACAGGAAGAACCCCCCACGCGCGCGCGCACACACACACACACACACACCCCUCUGUUCCAGAGACCCCCAGAGUCCGGCCUCGCUCUCUGCUUCUCAGCCGCGGCUGCUUCCCGUGUGAACUUCUGGGUUCGCUCUUUCUACUCCCGGGGUGUAGGGAGUCAGCUCCCCUCUCACCCCAUCUUCCUGGACAUGCCCACUGACACUUCAGGAGAGAGACCCAUAGAGAAAGGCUGUGCCCGUCUCCGGGACAUGGCCGGCACGGUGGAUCCCCUUCGUCGCGGCGUGGCUUGUGGUUCGUGGCUUCCCAGCACCUGCUGCUGCCAGCUCCGCUCAUGUUCUAGGGCUUGGCCAGCCCUUCGUCAUCCGAGGGCUGCAGAGGGACCGGCAGAGGCCUGGACAACUCAGAGGCCCUGGCCGGGCCCUGGAACUCACAUCCAUCCGACAGCCAGGCCGAGGGCAGGGCCACAUAGGUGUUCAGAGGAAUCCGUGACGUCCAACCUGUCCCUUCCCGUGGUCACCAAACAAGACCAUGUGGGGC